AACCCCUAUUGUGGACACUUCCUCAAGAGGUCCUUGAAACACCCCAAGUCUCAAACAAGGAUUCAAGCUCCAUUUGAACAAAUGAAGAUAUCUCAUUGAGAAGCUU
Dioscorea cayenensis subsp. rotundata (Guinea yam) is the source of this 106-nucleotide small nucleolar RNA. Lineage: Eukaryota; Viridiplantae; Streptophyta; Magnoliopsida; Dioscoreales; Dioscoreaceae. The record is from RefSeq and is a predicted model, not a curated record.